AGUGAACGCUGGCGGUAGGCCUAACACAUGCAAGUCGAACGGCAGCACAGUAAGAGCUUGCUCUUACGGGUGGCGAGUGGCGGACGGGUGAGGAAUACAUCGGAAUCUACUUUUUCGUGGGGGAUAACGUAGGGAAACUUCCGCUAAUACCGCAUACUACUUACGGGUGAAAGCAGGGGUUCUUCGGACCUUGCCCGAUUGAUUGAGCCGAUGUCGGAUUAGCUAGUUGGCGGGGUAAAGGCCCACCAAGGCGACGAUCCGUAGCUGGUCUGAGAGGAUGAUCAGCCACACUGGAACUGAGACACGGUCCAGACUCCUACGGGAGGCAGCAGUGGGGAAUAUUGGACAAUGGGCGCAAGCCUGAUCCAGCCAUGCCGCGUGGGUGAAGAAGGCCUUCGGGUUGUAAAGCCCUUUUGUUGGGAAAGAAAAGCAGCAGGUUAAUACCCCGCUGUUCUGACGGUACCCAAAGAAUAAGCACCGGCUAACUUCGUG
This 492-nucleotide ribosomal RNA is filed under the name uncultured bacterium. RNAcentral describes it as "partial 16S ribosomal RNA". It matches the Rfam family "Bacterial small subunit ribosomal RNA", at positions 29 to 507 of the family's 1533-position model. The record is from RNAcentral.